AUGGCGUUCGACGCCUUCACCGACAAGACCGCCGUCUUCCGCCGCCUCAAGGCCAAGCCCGAGAACAAGAUGUGCUUCGACUGCAACGCCAAGAACCCCACCUGGGCCUCCGUCACCUACGGCAUCUUCCUCUGCCUCGACUGCUCCGCCUUCCACCGCAGCCUCGGCGUGCACAUCACAUUCGUCAGGUCAACGAACCUGGACUCAUGGACUCCGGAUCAGCUAAAGAUGAUGGCUUUUGGAGGCAACAAUCGUGCACAUGCUUUCUUUAAACAGCACGGGUGGACAGAGGGGAGUGGCAAAGUCGAUUCAAAGUACACAUCCAGGGCUGCUGAAUUGUACAGGCAGAUACUGCAAAAGGAAGUUGCUAAGAGCUCCACCGUCAACGUCUUGCCAUCAUCCCCUGUUGCAGCGUCUCAGCCACCGAAUCCGACCGACGACUUCCCUGAUUUCAAGCUUGCUGAUGCACCAGAAGAGACUACCAACGGGAAGCAUGAACCUCUUGUCGCCAAUCCGCCAAAAGAGCCUGCCCAGGCUCCAAAAGCCCCUACACACCCCACUUAUGUCAGUUCUGUAAAGAAGCCCCUUGGUGCAAAGAAGCUUGGCGCCAAGACUGGAGGCCUUGGUGUAAAAAAGCUAACUACGAAGUCAAAUGAAAGCCUGUAUGAUCAGAAACCUGAAGAGCCAAAACCUGCUUUACCAACAAUGACGACUACUACUUCAGCUGCAAAAAGUGGCCCAUCCUCACAUUCGCGUUUUCAGUAUGUGGAGAAUGAGCCAUCAACAGAGUCAAAAACUGGAGGAGGCAACAAAACUGGCCAUGUAGCAGCACCAAAAACCUCAGACUUCUUUCAUGAGUAUGGAAUGGAUAAUGGCUUCCAAAGGAAAGCCGGCACAGCUGCCUCAAAGACUCAGAUAGAGGAAACUGAUGAAGCAAGGAAGAAAUUUUCGAACGCGAAAGCAAUUUCAUCAUCACAGUAUUUUGGUAACACAGACAGAGAACAAAAGGAGGCUCAGUUAUCUCUUCAAAAGUUUUCGGGUUCAUCAUCCAUUUCAAGCGCUGAUCUGUUUGGCCGUGAUACAAAUGAUUCUGAUCUGGACGCAAGUGCUGCAGAUCUCAUCAACAGAAUAUCUUUCCAGGCUUCCCAGGAUUUAUCAUCUCUCAAGAACAUGGCCGGAGAAACCGGAAAGAAGCUGACAUCUUUUGCCUCAAAUUUUAUCACCGACCUCGACAGAAUUCUGUGA
This 1245-nucleotide ribosomal RNA is filed under the name Triticum aestivum (bread wheat). Its description in RNAcentral is "partial small subunit ribosomal RNA". The record is from RNAcentral. Lineage: Eukaryota; Viridiplantae; Streptophyta; Magnoliopsida; Poales; Poaceae.